AAAACAGAGUCCACAGGCGUUGCAUGGUCGUUGUCAGUCCGUGGCGCAGAGCCGUUCUGUGUUUAAGACACUUCUUACGGACACCUCCCCUGCCAGAACUCUCUUCUGGAGGGCAAAGCCUGACAUCACGCGGUUUUGUCCUUAAUUUGGGUUCACUUCAGAUCCUCAUGGCCCUCAUAUAUUGGGAUACACCUGUGUUACAAUGGGAAUGUCACAGAACAGAAAAGAAUCUGCAAAUGUUAAAACAUUCCAUAAUUCAGAUCAUACCCUGCAACUCGGGUAUGUGAAGCCGGAAUCAUUAGUAAUCGUGGAUUAGCCUGCCACGGUGAAAUUUACUUUUUUCUCUAGAGUACACACCGCCCGUCACGUUGGAAAAAUUGCACAGACUGGAAGAAGCCCGCUUCUUUAACUGUUUUAGCCCCAAUACAAGUGCAUUCAUUCUAGCAUUAUUAUGAAAAGGCCGAACCAGUUAGAAGGGCUUUGAAGGUCUGUGUGGUGAUUGCGACGAAGUCGUAACAUGGUAGCUUUACGGGAACGUGAAGCUGGAUUGAUU
Molecule: ribosomal RNA, 553 nt
Filed under: Sphaeropleales sp. YC001
Lineage: Eukaryota; Viridiplantae; Chlorophyta; Chlorophyceae; Sphaeropleales
Description: 16S ribosomal RNA
Rfam family: Bacterial small subunit ribosomal RNA
Source: RNAcentral